Molecule: long non-coding RNA, 1138 nt
Organism: Sapajus apella (tufted capuchin)
Lineage: Eukaryota; Metazoa; Chordata; Mammalia; Primates; Cebidae
Exons: 2
Source: RefSeq, a predicted model, not a curated record
ACAGAGCCCGACUCCAUCUCAAAAAAAAAAAAAAGAAAGAAAGAAAGAAGGUACAAUGCCCCCCAGCUUUGUUCUUUCUCAAGAUUGCUCAGGUUAUUUAAAGUCGUUUAAGGUUACUUAAAUUUUUCAAUUGUGUUUUCUAUUAUUGUGAAAAAUGCCAGUAAUAUUUUGAUAGGGAUCACAUUGAAUUUGUAGAUUACUUUGGAUAAUAUUCUUUGACAAUAUUAGUUAUCCUAAUGGAAUAUGUUUCCAUUUAUUUGCGUCUACUUCAAUUUCUGUCAUUAAUAUCUUAUGGUAUUUAGUGUAUAAUACUAUAUAUUUUUUACGUCAUCUGUUAAAUUUAUUUAGAUUAACUUUCUUAUUUUUAUACUAUUGCAAAUGGAAACAGUUUCUUUUUUUGGAAAGUUUGUUUUUACUCUGUGGAAAUGCAAGAAAUAUUUGUAUGUGGUGCCAGGUGCAGUGGCUCAUUUCUGUGAUCCCAGCACUUUAAGAGGCCAAGACAGUUACAUCACUUGAGUUUGAGAUAAGCCUGGGCAAUCGAGUGAGACCCUGUCUCAAAAAAAAUCCCAACAACCAUCUAUAUUUUGAUUAUGUAUCCUGAUACUUUAAUGAAUACAUUUAUUAGUUCAAUCAAUUUUUCUGGUUUUACUCUAGGGUUUUAUAUAUAUGCAUGAUUAUAUUAUUCACAAAUGGUAACUUUUUUUUUUUUCAUUUCCAUGGUGGAGAGCUUUAUUCUCCUUUUCAUUAUCUAAUUAUUCUGAUACAAAUUUCCAGUAAUAUGCCAAGAUCUGCAGGCCUGCCUCCAGAGCCAUGGCUGAGCUUAUCUCCCUGCAGGUUUCUUGAUGGGAAGGACCACUUGUGUAGUAUAGCUGGGAGAGGAGUUUGUAAAAGGUUGCAGAACUGCUUCAGAAUUCUUAGUAAGACCAAGCUUGGUGCACCAUUUCCUUGUCUGUAGCCAUGUCUAUGGGCUCUUGAGUUGGCCAUCUGAGUGAAGGCCUUCUUAUUCCAAAUAACCCUUGUUGAUCUCUGGCUCCACUGAGGUUUCACAGAGCUAACCAUAGGCAAGCACCUUUCUAGUUCUGUUUUCUAUAUGCUUACUGCUUAAAAUAUUGUGUAAAAGUAGAAUCAUGCACUGUCA